Long non-coding RNA from Carassius gibelio (silver crucian carp), 273 nucleotides. RefSeq lists it as uncharacterized. NCBI's taxonomy places the organism in Eukaryota, Metazoa, Chordata, Actinopteri, Cypriniformes, Cyprinidae. The record is from RefSeq and is a predicted model, not a curated record. The transcript is spliced from 2 exons.
UGUUAUUGUUUUUGUUGUUGCUAAUGGUGGUGUUUUUUUCCUUUCAUUACAGGUUAAGAAAUCUCUUAGGCCUUAUCCUUUUCUGACAGUUUUAGGGAUUUAAAAACAUCCUAAGAACCCUAAUUUGUGCUGCAAAUAAUAAUUUCAAACUCAUUUGAUACUGACCUAUGACAACCUGUGACGUGACAUGACAUUUAUUAAUCUCAUGGAUGUAACAGUAAAACUCUUCAACUGACAGAUAAAGCUGUAAUGCAAGCAAAACUAUUUCACAAA